AGGAAAGGUGUGGAAACAGUCUAGUUACUUGGUGGUGAAGUCCCAUCUGUAUAGAGACACGUGGUUCAUCAAUCAUAGUGCAUUUCAUUUGAUUGUGGUGCAACCUUGUCUUUUCCUUUCUUUUCUCGUGAUUAGCAUAUCGGUUGUACCACGGUGCUCUAAUGAUAUCUUGAUUUUCAAAUUUUCAAAAAAUUCUAGGGAAAAGAAGCUUUUAAAUCUGAAGGACGAGAAGAUUCAAGAAUUAGAGGAGCAGGUAAACUUCUCAAUUACUUUUGCCUCUAUAGUCUACAAACCAUUACAAUUUAGAAAAAUAAUAGUAAGCUAUUAAUGGGUCUUUUGCCACCUCUUCUGGGUAAACGCAGCUGAGAUGUUUGAUGGCGUCCAUUGAGGAUGUAAAUACAGAGCAACAGUCUACAGCUUCAAGUGAAUUUACGGACAGGCCAACAAAUACAGAAUCUUCUUCAAGAAAUGGGACGAAAGGAGCCAGAACGACAAGUAGUCGGAGAAAAAGCAAGGGUUGAGCUCUCUGGUUGAUGGCAAUGCUUAGGGCCUAAGGUGAUAUGUUAUGAAAAUCCGAAUUUUAUUUUAUUUUUCAUUUUUUUUCUGUGUGAUGAUUGAAGAAUUCGAAUAGAAUUUCAUGGCUAUUACGUGUGCAGAGCAUAGCAUAGCAUUCAAAAUGUAGCGUAGCUAAUGGUAUUUUUAAUUUGAAAUGUUCAUUCUAAUGUGACCUUUGUUUGCUUACAAAGGUCGUGUGGUAGCGCUUGCCAUCAAAUGAGUGGCAUAACCAGAUUAUCCAAACUGAACUUUGAGCGAAAUUUUAAUUGGAUCACUAAAUUUUAAUUUAUUUCAAUUGAGUCAUCGAAC
This 864-nucleotide long non-coding RNA is filed under the name Olea europaea subsp. europaea. The record is from RNAcentral. Lineage: Eukaryota; Viridiplantae; Streptophyta; Magnoliopsida; Lamiales; Oleaceae.